This 254-nucleotide ribosomal RNA is filed under the name uncultured bacterium. RNAcentral describes it as "partial 16S ribosomal RNA". It matches the Rfam family "Bacterial small subunit ribosomal RNA", at positions 524 to 776 of the family's 1533-position model. The record is from RNAcentral.
UACGAAGGGGGGCUGGCGUUGCUCGGAAUGACUGGGCGUAAAGGGCGCGUAGGCGGAUUGCACAGUCAGGCGUGAAAUUCCCGGGCUCAACCUGGGGGCUGCGCUUGAGACGUGCGAUCUUGAGUGGGGAAGAGGGUCGUGGAAUUCCCAGUGUAGAGGUGAAAUUCGUAGAUAUUGGGAAGAACACCGGUGGCGAAGGCGGCGACCUGGUCCUUGACUGACGCUGAGGCGCGAAAGCGUGGGGGGCAAACAGG